Long non-coding RNA from Oryctolagus cuniculus (rabbit), 572 nucleotides. RefSeq lists it as uncharacterized. The record is from RefSeq and is a predicted model, not a curated record. Lineage: Eukaryota; Metazoa; Chordata; Mammalia; Lagomorpha; Leporidae.
GGCAGCUCUGGCCCCGGCACCCACUGGGAGAGGCCCCAGGGCCCCCCGCCCAGAGCCAAGGCCACAGCGGGAGCCAGGGGAGGAUUCGAGAAGUUUCUGCCAGCACUCCAGACUGCUCUUGACUCUGGGAGCAGAACCGCCAGCUGUCAGGCCAAGGCAAGAGAGCCUGGGGGGCAGAGUGGGCCAGGGGCUCCAGGAGGGGCCCGCGAGAUGCUCCCCUUGUGGACUGGAAGGACGCAAAAGCUGGUGUCUGGGGGGAACGGACCUGCCCGAGGCCACACUCCCCACAUGUCCAAUUCCCGCGCCUGGUGCCAGCUCUCUGCUAUGGCCAGUGGAAGAUGACCCAAGUCCUUGGGCCCCUGCACCCACACGGGAGACUCGGAGGAAGCUCCAAGUUCCUGGCUUUGGACCGGCGCAGCUCCAGCCAUUACAGCCAUCUGGGGAGUGAACAGCGGAUGGAAGACCUCUCUCUCUGUCUCUACUUCUCUCUGUAACUCUGUCUUUCAAAUAAAUUUUUAAAAAAUCUUAAAAAUAAUAACGAUAAACAAAUAAAUAAAAAUAUUUUAUUAUUA